This 616-nucleotide long non-coding RNA is filed under the name Helianthus annuus (common sunflower). RNAcentral describes it as "sRNA HanXRQr2_Chr06g0243781". Lineage: Eukaryota; Viridiplantae; Streptophyta; Magnoliopsida; Asterales; Asteraceae. The record is from RNAcentral.
GAUAGAGAGAGACUAAUGUGUGUGAGAGAGAAACUCCUUCCCACAAUCCGACCUCCUCUUUCCCGUGACCGAUUUCGAUGAAGGCCCGGUCCUCCAGCAGCCUCUCUUCCCCCUCUCACUUCAGGUUGUGCAACUGCGUUUCAGGCAUCGUGUGACGACAAAGGCCGUGUCCGGGAACCAAGGCGAGCAACAACUGUAAAUCCUCUUGUGGCUUCAUCGGAAAACGCGUCGUCAGUUGAGCCGUGUUUUUAAGUUUUUUUCCAACCUCUAACCUAGAUGUUAGAGAGAGAAAAAAACCAACUGGAGGGUUUCUCCGGCGAGAGUCCGGCUACCGGUGAGAGUAGUGGCGUGUGGUGUUGGUGGCUAUGAACUAAGGUAGGAAGCAACAUUGUUCAUGCUGUCCAGUUCCAGCAACAAAAGGAACCGCUCAAAAGGUCAAUACUGGAAUUUGGGUGAUCUAGUGCUAUAAAAUUGUGUAAGAUGGAGGGUGUCGGUGGUAUGUGUAUGUAAGACAAAAUCGAAGAGAUUGUCGGUGGCAAAAGCCACCGACUUUGUAAUUUAAGAUAUAGUAUAAUAAUAGUCUGUAUCUUCAAUCUAGAUUUAAGUAUUCGUAUAC